Molecule: long non-coding RNA, 2976 nt
Organism: Hirundo rustica (Barn swallow)
Lineage: Eukaryota; Metazoa; Chordata; Aves; Passeriformes; Hirundinidae
Exons: 3
Source: RefSeq, a predicted model, not a curated record
CUCAGACCCUGCAAGCCCAAAGAAAAGAGGAGCAGGAGUUGGGGGCUGAAUAUUCACUGGUUCACCUCUUCUGGAUAAGAAGGUGGAAGAGUGGACUGCUUAAUGAAAAUGUUUCUGAAUGUUCUGGGGUUCAAUCACUUACCCUGAAAUUCAAGGAGAGCAGCCCUGAGUGCAGAUAAAGGGGUAAUACUGAAGAAGAACUGAACUGUGGAAAUGGUACCAUGGCUGUUGGGUGCAUUGAGCUGAGGCCCGCUGACUCCUGGUGAUUUUGGUUAACAAGACAGAAGUUCUACAGCAACCUUUCUUACUCACAAUAAAAUGCUCCAGGAGAUGGAAUGCUGCAUUGUGAAAACUAGCAAAUACGAAAACCAUUUGUGAAAGAACUCUGCAGAAGGUUCUCUUUUUUCCUCCACAUCAACAAACAUGACAGACAGGAUCCUCUUCCUUCAUAGCCAUGGGCAGCCUGCCUUGGAGCCAGGACUGCCGGUCACACCUGACGGUGCCUGAAUGCAUAGCAGUUGUGUUGGGAGCACAAAUGUGAGGAAAGACAAGAGCACCAAACUAAUUUUAACUUGUGACCUAAACAAGGGUUUGAACCCAAGUCUCCUGAGAUAAAAGGCUGUUGCCCUUAUUUUUCAUCUGAAAAGCCAUUUGGACUGCAUAUAGACAGUUCCCCUUGAGAGAUGGUGUUAGAUUGAUGUACUGCAGCGUGAAAUGGGAGUGUAAAUGUAUGUGAUGUUCAUGGGCUAGUGAAUAGAGCUGGUUUACUAUGGGAUGAAUUGCCAGCAAAAUAAACAGGCUACCUCUAACCCCAUCUACUGCUUUUCUUAGUUGAGGACAAUAGUGUAACUUCAAAUGCACGUUGAUUCUGACACGUUCUUUGCGACGCUGACGUACCUGGAAAAGUAUAAAUGCUGAAAACUUGUUCUCAUUUCUAUUAUGGAUAUAUAAGAAGAGAGAAAGUAGCUUAGAGGAAUCAAAAGAAUAGAAAGUAUUUAUUGCUUCACUGUCACAGUGCUCAGAGCUCAGUUAAAAUUCAGGAGCCCUUUGUUUAAUACGGGUAUGUUUGAAAUUAUCCAGCCUUUGUAUUUAAUAGCCAGGGAGACUUAAUUACUCUGUUCCAGCCUUCAGUGAGAAUGCAGACAAACAGCCUUUUACAUUGUACUGAAUAUAUGUAAGGAAAAAAGACAUUUUUUUACUUCCUGGCACUCGAAAAAUGUAAGAGACUUUCAAAGGAACUGCAGUGUUGGGUACCUACUAUUUUGCAAUAUCUAGGCCACUCAGAAGAGCAUUUUUCUAUACAAAGACUACAUUUGAUGCAUUAUAGUGAAAGACUUGGCAAUGCAGUCAAAAGUAAUCUUGUUUUCACCUGUCUUAUGGCCUGAAAUGAGUGUACUGCAGGCAAUUUGGAGGUUAGUGGGAGACUAAAAUAUUUAAUAAUUCUUAGAAUUCUCUCUCUGUAUCUGUGUGGUUUAUAUAUACACCUGUUUUAAGAUAUAAGUAACAGUAAGAAAUAAGAAAAUCCUGCAGAUUCUUUUAAGUUCUUUACGUUAUCUAAGAGCAAAUAGUCAUCUUGCAGGGAAAAAAAGGGUGCCUUGUCAAUUCACAGUGUUUCAAUACCUCUUACUGUUAUGGUAGUUCUUACUCCACCCAAUUUAUAAUGAUAUUGCCUAAGAAUGAAGAUGGUUAAGCAUGAAAAAUUUAAAAGCAGUGGCUUUAAAAUUAAGCUGCUGAGGUCGAGCCAGUAGUAUGUCUACAACUACAGCUUUUUCAAUACUUUGUAUGUUCUUCAGCUGUUACAAGACACAAUGGGAAUAGAUAGCAGUUAGGUAGUGGUAGUAAGUUUGGAUUAUUAUGGUUACUUUAUUAAAAUUUUGGUUGGUUUGCCCACUAUAAAUCUCAAAUAAGCAGAUAAUUGUGGGAGGCAAAAGAGAAAGAAAAGAAUAAUUAAGUUGUUCAAACCAAAUAUGUUAAUAAAGAUUAGUGGCUUUAUAUGUGUAUAUAUUUCACAUGGAAAAUUAAACAGAAUAAUGUCCAUUGCCUAAGGUAGUGAGAAAGGGAGAAAAUUCUGGAGAGGAUGAGGAACUGGUUUCUUGGCAGGUUGAAUUUCUAAAUAAUAUUGAAAAGGUGUAAUUAAAGAAGUGACUUGCAAUAAUUUUAUUGUCCUAAGUAAAAGUAAAUUGAGGUAUGGAAAGGAGAUGUUCCUUGCUUGUAAGUUCUUUACAAAGCUUUGUCAGGGUCAAAACCCAGGAAUUGGCUUUCAUGAAAGAUGUCUUGCCUACAGUGUUAAUAUGUGAUUACAUUUUCAGGAGGAAAAAGUUUAUAGAGAUUUCAAAAGAUCUUUGACAUUAAAUACUUGCAUUCAAAUAUUCAAGUUUUUAUUAAUUCCUCAACAGUAUUUUUUUGUGUGUGUGUGUGUAUGUAUGAUUAUUUGAAAGAGCUUCUGUAUUUCAUAGAACACCACAUGAACCAGGAAAGUUCUUGUUGAACAGUCACUGUAGGAUUGGCAUGUGGAAAUAUCUGGAAUUGUCUCAUUCUGGCUUUCUAAUGAGAAGUUAUACUAGAGCAAGGUACUUGACAGAGAUGGCAAAGAUGAAAAAUGUCAGUGUUUUGGAAGGCUUAUUAUAAAUCCUUGAAUCUCCCAGAUGCUUUUCAUUCUUAUUUCACAUAUUUUUGUUUACUUUUAAAAAGCUUUCCUUAAAAUUACCUCACUUCUGUUUCUUCAUCCAGAACUUUGAUUUAUACCAAUAGCUGCUGAAUAGUAAAGAUUAUUUUCUAUUGUAUUAAUGCCUUUGAAUUCUUGUAAUAGCAUGGCUCAAGUACCUGUGGAAGAAAACACUUUGUAUUGUGAAUUGGUUGUGUUACCUUGUGUUGCAGUGAAUAUAACCCAUCAAUGCAACCCAAACCCACGUGUCUUGGAAUUAAUUUUUAAUUCUUAUGAUGGGAAGGUCAGUUUUUUGCCAUAUAGUUUUCUUA